AUUUUGUAUAGUUAUUCAGAUGAUUGCUUUGAAUUAUUAUUUAAUUAUACGCAAAGCAUAUAUGAGUCAUUUAUUUACAACUAAAAUUUCUGUAUAAAUAAGAGGGUUGAGUUACUGAUGUUAACACUGCUUCAGCUUUCACCUGAAAAGGUAUCUCCAAGAUGAAACUCUUACUUCUACUGAUUAUCUCUGCUUCAAUGCUGAUUGGUACAUAAUCAACAGCGGAAUCGCUAUUGCUGUCUUCACUGUCAUUGAAUAAAAUGCUGAAUGGAUUUCAAGACAUCAGACAGUUUGCAAUAUGCCACCUAGAUUUCAAAUAUAAACUAAAAAUAUUAAAUUUCAUGAAGCGAUUCGGCAAAGUUUCCUUGAGUCUUACAAUGGGUGAAGUUUUUUAUGUGAAUAAAAAGUUUCCCUUAAAGAUAAUGAGAACUUUAUAUUCAGUAUUUUCUGGUCUUUUAAAACUAAGAAACGUUUCAUAUCAGAGGAGAGACUGUCAAGAAAUGUUGGCUGUUAACGAAACAAAUCAAUUUUAAAAUUUGUUAGUUCUGUGUUUUCAAUCGUCCUUUCCGGCAUAUACAGUAUAUCCUUCACAUCGUGCAUUUUCAGCAGAGUGUUCAACUUUAUUUUGAUUUUUAAUUUUUUGUAAGAGGAUCAUCUUUUUGAAUCCUUUUGAAACUAGAGUGAGCGAUUCAAAUUAUUACUAUUUUUGUUUAAAUCAGUAGAUCGAUUUUCGUGCUCUUCAUAGAUUCUUAAAACUUUUGAUAAUUUUGGUGCAGAUAUAUUGAAAGCU
RNAcentral lists this long non-coding RNA (790 nucleotides) under Androctonus crassicauda. The record is from RNAcentral. Lineage: Eukaryota; Metazoa; Arthropoda; Arachnida; Scorpiones; Buthidae.